CAUAAAUCGCGCGGAUCUAGUCUUUCCUAAUUGACAUAUUUAUUGCAUUGUAAAUAACUCCCGAUACUAGCUGAUCCGGCAGACUUCGUAGUGCCUCAAUCGAUAAAUAAAAGACCUAAACUUUGUAAAAAAUAAAUUUAAAACAAACAAAAGGAAUCCGUCCGACGGGGGACACAUCAAAGGAAGAACAAAAUUGUUAUUUUUAUUUAAUCCCUAGCAUUUUCAUAUUUAUCUACCUUUUAAACCUUCUCUGGACUUCCACAAAUAAUUCAAGACCAAAAUUAGCCAAAUCGGUCCAGCCGCUCUCGAGUUUUAGCGAGACUAACGAACAGCAACUCAUUUAUAUAUAUAUAGAUAUUACAUCUAUGUUACUCGUACAUUCAUUAAAAAUAAUAUUUCACAUAGAAUAUAUUAUAUAAAAUAACAAUAAGUUGCGAAUAAAAUUAAAAUUGAUGUCAUAAAAGAUACAAAGAAAUAUUCAAAACUACCUUAACUUAUACUGCAAUAAACUUAUAAGUUUAGUAUUACUUAAGCCGGCUUUGAAUGUAAUGUGACGUAUUUAAUGUAAAUGUAAUGUAAUUUUAGUAAUUUUUUUUCUUUUUUAUUUGGUUUCCGCGAUUCCUACAUAUUAUUAAAACUACUUUUACAACAUAA
Long non-coding RNA from Bombyx mori (domestic silkworm), 654 nucleotides. RefSeq lists it as uncharacterized. NCBI's taxonomy places the organism in Eukaryota, Metazoa, Arthropoda, Insecta, Lepidoptera, Bombycidae. The record is from RefSeq and is a predicted model, not a curated record. The transcript is spliced from 2 exons.